ACAGCUCGAGACCCGACCCAACCGGAACUCCCGCGUCCGGCAACGACACGACGGCGCACCGGUCAUGUUAGACGCGUCUUGUGGUCGUGGUUCUGCCUAUGGUCACAGAUCGUCCAUGCAUGGAGCGAGGAGAGAGAACGGAAGCCCGAAAGCUUCGAGUUUUCCGGCAAAGUUUCUGCAAUUUCCGGCGAUCUUCGGGGCUGCAUGAGCGGAGCCGCUGUCCUCCUUGGUCGUCCUUUGCUUCUGGGUUCGUCGCCGACCUUCUGGAGCAUGGAUUGGUAUCUGUUGGAGCUCGAUUCCUUGAGUGGGUUGAAUUGGGAGACUGCAGUUAAAUUUGGGUUCCAGAAAAUUCAAAGCUAAGGAAAGAGAAAGUAAGAACAAAGCGAAUAAUUGAACUUUGGAAGGAAGGAAUGAUGGAACCGAUCAUUAAGGGUCUUGAAUUGAAUUUGGGUUUAUUUACGAGUUAUGGUACGUGGUGUUGAGUGCUUUUGUUUGACUGAACCAGAACUGCCUUCUCCUCCUUACUGUUGUUUCUAGUCCAACAAUCCAGCAAGAAGGAAGAGUUUAAUCUAAAGAUUUUACAAGGUAAGUGAGAGGUCACCUUGGAUAAUUAUUGUUGGACCCGACUAUAUAUGAUGGGUAUAUUUUGGUGAAAGUAGUAGGCUACUGUAAAAGUGCAAUGAUGUGGUUUUGAUCAAUUGACAAGAGUUGUAAACUAGUUCUAUUUGUAAGGUGGAAUUGAUAUCCUAAUUAAGCAAGUAGUGACAAAAAUGUUAAAAGGUGACGUUGCCUUUAAAGGAAUUGAAGUACCACGUUGUUCAAUCCUUGGGAUUAAGUGGUUUUAAAUGUAGAGAUUGGUACUAUCUAAAAUAUGUGCAGUGAGCACAAUUAAAUACAAAUACAAGGUUGAGCUUAAUUUAUAAGCUUGGACAGAGACUCCAUAUAUUUAUUGGAAAUUGGAAGCUCAUCGAUAGUUAUUGGUAAAUUUUGGUCAAACUAGGGAAUGGUCGGACAAUUUAAUUUGUUGAGGUUUAUACAAUUAUUUCCCUUGUUAAUAUGGAAUCGUGUCGGAAUCUAGGACUCCAGUUACCCGAGGAACGGAAGGUUCGUGACUCUCAGAGUACGUGAAGAAAAGCAUCGGAAUCCAAGUAGGGGACUCGGGACUCAUUCGGUUAGUUGUUUUCCGUUUUGGAUUAAAUGUUUAUGCAUAUUUGAGUUGCAUGGUUUGGUUAUUGAUGGCUUGAGAGUGAGUGGAACAUAGCGAUUCCUUGGGCUUCGAUCCCUUAAACCUCCGGAGGGGCCGUAUGGACGGAAUGGUGUCUGACAUCCUCUGAGAUGUGGCACUAUUUCUAGGUGAUAUAGCAUAAGUGGACACUCUCACUACGCUUACCUGGUGAUGAUUUUAUUUGAGGUAAGGCCGUGUAGUUGGUCCAUGGGACCGGCCAUCAGGUAUUAUGCAUUUCUUUGAGUUUUGUGCUUUGGAUUUUGAGUCCGAAAGAUAUUUGAAGUUUGUCGUUCUUUAAAGAAAUGGUUUAACUUUUUCAUACUUGGUACCCAAAUUUCUAUUUUGUGUGUCGGUUUUCAAACCUAGUCGGGUGAAGCCCCUAUUGAGCAGCGAGGACGAAAACUCACCCCUACAACAGUGUGGAUGCAGGUACUGUGCAUUGGUAACGGGAUUGGAGCGGAUGGAGUUGGGUGUGCGGAUUUCAGUAAUGUAUCUCUGUGUAAACCAGGUUCCUAGUUCCAAAUCCUAUCCUUGUUUCUACAAGUUGUAUUUCCGGAAUUUGUUGAAAACUGUUUUGUUGCGUGCUUAAUCCUUUAUUCCUCGAUUAUUUGCAACGUUAAGUCUUAGACGAACAUUUGAAUUUAAAGUUUUAGAAAGGUUUUCACCUCAAAAGAAUUUAAAAGCUUCCGUUGUGUAUUUUUGUGAAAAAAUUAUUUUGAACAAAUUUGCCUAGCGAAUUUCUAGAAUGUAAAAUUUAUUUUCGGUUUAUGUUUUAGAGAC
Molecule: long non-coding RNA, 2005 nt
Organism: Rosa rugosa (rugosa rose)
Lineage: Eukaryota; Viridiplantae; Streptophyta; Magnoliopsida; Rosales; Rosaceae
Exons: 3
Source: RefSeq, a predicted model, not a curated record